AGAGUUUGAUCCUGGCUCAGAGCGAACGCUGGCGGCGUGCUUAACACAUGCAAGUCGAACGCGCAACUCUUUGUAGCAAUACAGAGGGCGGGCGCGUGGCGAACGGGUGCGUAACACGUGGGUAACCUUCCUUCUUGUGGGGAAUAACCCGUCGAAAGACGGGCUAAUACCGCAUGACAUUCCGGUGGCUUCGGCUGCCG
RNAcentral lists this ribosomal RNA (200 nucleotides) under uncultured bacterium. RNAcentral's name for it is "partial 16S ribosomal RNA". It matches the Rfam family "Bacterial small subunit ribosomal RNA", at positions 8 to 198 of the family's 1533-position model. The record is from RNAcentral.